GGAAAAGAAAAAUCAAGAAGAUGAAGGGUGAAAGAGAGCAAAAAUUCGGCAGCAAUGAUGAGAAAAAAGACAAGAGGGUAGAGGAUUUUUGGGAAAAGUAAAAAAAAGAAAAAAAAAGACAAAUAGGAUAUUUGAUAACCACCUCAAUCCCUUAUUUCUCUCCAUCAAACUCCCCACUAAAUCCACUACUCAGAUUUUUAGUCCAUCUCAAACUCUCCUGGACGCACAAGCAAAUAUAUUGCCCACACCAAAAUUCGAACACAGGACCCCCUUCACAACAAUACUCC
Molecule: long non-coding RNA, 287 nt
Filed under: Gossypium raimondii (Peruvian cotton)
Lineage: Eukaryota; Viridiplantae; Streptophyta; Magnoliopsida; Malvales; Malvaceae
Description: long non-coding RNA (GRAI_LNC000698)
Source: RNAcentral